CCUCGCCACAGCAGUGACAACCCUGAAUCCUAACCACUAGGCCACCAGGGAACUCCUCUAAGCACUUAAUUUCGAACCAACCUUGAAAGAGAAGACAAUGCAGAAAGCAAAGUUCUGACCCGCAACAGCCGCCCUCACUUAAAAGGUAUUUACUUAAAAGCUAAAGUAUAGUCCACUCACAUGCUAGCAAAUUCCAAAUGAAAUGGGCUUAAUCAUAAGCAAAUAUGUCAGGAAUCUGGUCGGCUAAGCCACCCAACCGCCAACAACUCCAGCGGCUUCAAUUUUCAAAGAAGAGAAUAGUUCCAGACUAGGGCAAGUAAUAAGUAAUUUAGAGGUAACGCUGGGAAGAUGUCAGGGGCAACUUAAAUUGCCUAAAAAGCCUUUUCCUCUCUGGCUUUGAAAUUGCAGUUAAUUUCUAGAAAACUUCUUAUUGAGUAGAUAGGUAUUCAUAUCUCUACUGCUUUGUGAGGGUAUUGUUUCUUUGUUGCUACUGAAAAAAAAAAAAGAAUGAAAUCCAGUCUGGCUCCUCUCAGGCUCCUUUUGUGCUGGAAGAGGUAGGUGGUCCUUUGGAACAGCCCCCCAGCAUGACCAGAAACUGUAAAAUAAUCCAAUACACAGGGCCAAUCGGCGCCAUCCUAUUCCGCCGGGAGUGUGGUUAGGAAUGGUAACCUUUUAUUCAAAGGACACAAAUGCCUUCCCUCUUCAAAAUACCAGCCUUUGGUACCUAUGGUUUCUACGUGGAGAAGAGAGAAAGGAAAAGACAUCAAAAUUAUAUAAGUAAGUUUUUCUAAAAAUACCCUCCCACAACUUGCCCAAAUGACUGAGAUAUUUCUAAUUCACUUUCAAGUCACAGAAACCUAAACACUUCGCUGUAUGUUAAGAUGUCAGAUAUGAAUCGUCUUAACCAGCUGGGUCAAAUGUGAGCUGCAAACCGCAGUCAGAAGGGGUGAUUUCUCACCUCCAUGGGCACACAAGCCUGGAGGACUCCGCCUCCGACUCAGCAAUCUGUUAAAGGGACAAUUUUGAAGUUCUGUGCAAUGUGAGGGUAGCCAGCCUGAAAUAUAGCUAUGGAUGGGACAGCCGCAGAAAGUUAACAGAUACUUUCAAUAAGUGAUAAAGAUAUUGUGUAGUCAUGGUAACCUGCAUGCAAAUUUAGAACAUUUAUUUUAAAAGUCUUCUCUCCCCUUUCCCUCAAUAUCACUUCGAGUGUUCUCUUUUCUGUAUUCUUAUCUGAAGCUGUGCCACUAAGAGUCCAACAAUAAUGGAAUCUAAUGUUUGAGUUUCUUUCUUCGAGAUGGAACUUGCACGAUUUCCAGGCAGAUCCUCUGAGCAAGGGCUUUGAGAAUAUCCAUGUAUUGCUCUACGCAUCUGCAUCAUAUAAUUUACACCACACUGAAAUGUGAAAAAGGCCUUUAAGUAUCCUGUUCCCUAGAGGCUGUAAACUAAUAAGUAUUAUAAUUAAUUUCUUAAGCACUAAGCUAAAGGGAUGCAGUCGAAACCUCACAUGCAUGAAAGGCAGAACUUUCCCCGGAACCCAAAUUGGAAGGAAGCAUAUCCACCAGAAGAGGCAGAAGAAACAGAGAGGGCAGAGCCAGGAGGCAGCAGUUUUCUUGUGGCCCAUUAACUGUUUCUUUCACAGAGUUGUAUUCUCCCUUUUGAAACGAGAGGCCAAGCAAACUCCUGACAACAGACCGGAGACAGGCCUUUCUCCCUAGACCUCACUCCGCUGUAUCUUCAACCCCCCACUGGCAGCCCAGCUGGCUCGGACAAGCAUCAUUUCAGAAGAGGACUGAAGCCAGGGCAAGCUUCUCAUGUCUUCCUGAGGCCACUGGAUUUAAAAAUAUAUGAUAAUUUGAUAUCAGCAUGGAUGGAGAGAAAAGUCCGAAAGGGCACAGUGACAACACAGAUCCCUGGCCCUUCCUUCUUUCAGCGUGUGUCUGCUCUGUAAACGUGCUAACGGAACACACAUCCCUUUUACAUUCAGAAAAAGAGCCAUCUAACGGACUUUUAAAAAAACAGAAGUAGUAGUUCCCAUCAUGGCACAGCGGAAAUGAAUCCGACUAGGAACCAUGAGGUUGCAGGUUCGAUCCCUGGCCUCAUUCAGUGGGUUAAGGAUCUGGUGUGGCCGUGAGCUGUGGUGUAGGUCCCAGACAUAGCUCAGAUCCCAUGUUGCUGUGGCUGUGGUGUAGGCCGGGAGUUGCAGCUCUGAUUCAACCCCCAGCCUGGGGACUUCCAUAUACUGUGUGGCCCUAAAAAGACAAAAAAAAAAAAAAAAAAAAAUUGUUAAGAGGUUAGAUCUCGUGUUAAGUCCUAUAUAACACAAGGAACUAUAUCCAGUCUCGUGAUGGAACAUGAUGGAAGACAGAAUAAAAAAAAGAAUGUACAUAUAUGUAUGACUGGGUCACUUUGCUGUACAACAGAUAUUAAAGAAACACUGUAAAUCAACUGUAAUUUUAAAAGUAUUCUUAAUAUGAAUAAAUUCUAACAAUAAAAAUUUUAACAUAUAUCAUUUUCUUAGUGUGAUAAAUAAUUUGCUUUACUACAGAAAACCAAAAAAGAAGAUAAUGAAAUCACUCAUAAUCCUCCCCCCUAAAAAAAAAAGAAAAAAGAAAAAAAAAAA
Molecule: long non-coding RNA, 2620 nt
Filed under: Sus scrofa (pig)
Lineage: Eukaryota; Metazoa; Chordata; Mammalia; Artiodactyla; Suidae
Description: lncRNA (ENSSSCG00000061851.1)
Source: RNAcentral